ACGCUCGACACCUACGGGAAGCAGCAGUGGGGAAUAUUGCACAAUGGAGGAAACUCUGAUGCAGCGAUGCCGCGUGAGGGAAGAAGGUUUUCGGAUUGUAAACCUCUGUCUUUGGGGACGAUAAUGACGGUACCCAAGGAGGAAGCUCCGGCUAACUACGUGCGNNGCGCGGUAGUACUGNGCGGCGNGNGAGAG
RNAcentral lists this ribosomal RNA (195 nucleotides) under uncultured bacterium. Its description in RNAcentral is "partial 16S ribosomal RNA". It matches the Rfam family "Bacterial small subunit ribosomal RNA", at positions 326 to 540 of the family's 1533-position model. The record is from RNAcentral.